This is a long non-coding RNA of Perognathus longimembris pacificus (Pacific pocket mouse), 177 nucleotides long. RefSeq lists it as uncharacterized. The transcript has 3 exons. Lineage: Eukaryota; Metazoa; Chordata; Mammalia; Rodentia; Heteromyidae. The record is from RefSeq and is a predicted model, not a curated record.
UGUUACAUACACACAGUGGAAUUCUCUGCUUCUAUCAGAAAGAAUGGCAUUGCCCCAUUUGUAAGGAAACGUAAGGACUUGGAAAAAAUCAUACUAAGUGAAGUGAGCCAGACCCAAAGAAACAUAGACUCUAUGGUUUCCCUCAUUGGUAAUAAUUAGUAUAUGUCUAGGAUAUUC